UGGGGGAUAUUGCACAAUGGGGGGAACCCUGAUGCAGCGACGCCGCGUGAGUGAAGGAGCGCCUCGGCGCGUAAAGCUCUGUCAGCAGGGAAGAAACACUGCCCUAAAGGGCAGCAGACGGUACCUGACCAAGAAGCCCCGGCUAACUACGUGCCAGCAGCCGCGGUAAUACGUAGGGGGCAAGCGUUAUCCGGAUUUACUGGGUGUAAAGGGAGCGUAGACGGCAGGGGAAGCCUGGAGUGAAAGGCGGGGGCCCAACCCCCGGACUGCUCUGGGAACUCCCCGGCUGGAGUGCGGGAGGGGUAAGCGGAAUUCCUAGUGUAGCGGUGAAAUGCGUAGAUAUUAGGAGGAACACCGGUGGCGAAGGCGGCUUACUGGACCGUGACUGACGUUGAGGCUCGAAAGCGUGGGGAGCAAACAGG
Molecule: ribosomal RNA, 422 nt
Filed under: uncultured bacterium
Lineage: Bacteria
Description: bacterial SSU rRNA
Rfam family: Bacterial small subunit ribosomal RNA
Source: RNAcentral